This 293-nucleotide ribosomal RNA is filed under the name uncultured bacterium. RNAcentral describes it as "partial 16S ribosomal RNA". It matches the Rfam family "Bacterial small subunit ribosomal RNA", at positions 505 to 796 of the family's 1533-position model. The record is from RNAcentral.
GUGUCAGCAGCCGCGGUAACACGUAGGGGGCAAGCGUUGUCCGGAUUUAUUGGGCGUAAAGAGCUCGUAGGCGGCUUGGUAAGUCGGGUGUGAAAACUCGGGGCUCAACCCCGAGACGCCACUCGAUACUGCUAUGGCUUGAGUCCGGUAGGGGAGCAGGGAAUUCCUGGUGUAGCGGUGAAAUGCGCAGAUAUCAGGAGGAACACCGGUGGCGAAGGCGCUGCUCUGGGCCGGUACUGACGCUGAGGAGCGAAAGCGUGGGUAGCAAACAGGAUUAGAUACCCUCGUAGUCC